This 497-nucleotide ribosomal RNA is filed under the name uncultured bacterium. Its description in RNAcentral is "partial 16S ribosomal RNA". It matches the Rfam family "Bacterial small subunit ribosomal RNA", at positions 28 to 507 of the family's 1533-position model. The record is from RNAcentral.
GAUGGACGCUGGCGGCGUGCCUAAUACAUGCAAGUCGAGCGAACAGACGAGGAGCUUGCUCCUCUGACGUUAGCGGCGGACGGGUGAGUAACACGUGGAUAACCUACCUAUAAGACUGGGAUAACUUCGGGAAACCGGAGCUAAUACCGGAUAAUAUAUUGAACCGCAUGGUUCAAUAGUGAAAGACGGUUUUGCUGUCACUUAUAGAUGGAUCCGCGCCGCAUUAGCUAGUUGGUAAGGUAACGGCUUACCAAGGCAACGAUGCGUAGCCGACCUGAGAGGGUGAUCGGCCACACUGGAACUGAGACACGGUCCAGACCCCUACGGGAGGCAGCAGUAGGGAAUCUUCCGCAAUGGGCGAAAGCCUGACGGAGCAACGCCGCGUGAGUGAUGAAGGUCUUCGGAUCGUAAAACUCUGUUAUUAGGGAAGAACAAAUGUGUAAGUAACUAUGCACGUCUUGACGGUACCUAAUCAGAAAGCCACGGCUAACUACGUG